RNAcentral lists this small nucleolar RNA (141 nucleotides) under Spermophilus dauricus (Daurian ground squirrel). The record is from RNAcentral. Lineage: Eukaryota; Metazoa; Chordata; Mammalia; Rodentia; Sciuridae.
UUGCAAACUUCCUCACUAGCUCUGCAUGAUGUGGCAAAAGCUAAGAGAACCAGGUUGCUCAAUUAAAUUAAUUGUAAUGACAGGAACAUAUUAGCCUCGGAAGCUAUUAAUUGAGGUGCUCCAUUCUAUUCCCAUAGAGUG